ACGACCGGGAAUUAGCGCAGCACUGAAUCCUGUAUCUUUGAUACUAGGAGUUGUAGUGUAAAGGUUGGAUCUUUAAUGGUAGAAUGCAUUCCAAAUUCACUUGAAUGUGAUGUUGUCCAGAGAGGGUGUCAGACCCGUUGGAAUGUGUGAAACUGUUAAUGAUGCUUCCUAUGAGUCGGAUUGUUUGAGAAUGCAGUCCAAAUUGGGUGGUAAACUUCAUCUAACGCUAAAUACUUGUGCUAGUCCGAUAGAAAACAAGUACCGUGAGGGAAAGUUGAAAAGAACUCUGAAGAGAGAGUUAAAUAGUACGUGAAAUCGCUUAGAGGUAAACGAGUGGAGCCGAAAAUGUUGUGUAGGAUUCAGUUGUUUGUGUUUUGUACGGUAUUGGUGAUAUCUUUAAUGCUGGGAAUUACCAAUACCUUUUAACUUUGAAAUACAAAUGAUGCACUUUCUAUGCAACAAAGCUGCAAUCGAUAGCGUUGUUUUUCUGUCGUAAUGAAGAAGGUGAACAAUUUUUCGGAAUUGUUUUUAUAGCUUUUUUACACGGUUAAUCAAUUUAUCGGUGAAUGCGAAUAUUCAUUGUUGGUGAUUGCUAAUAUGAAUUGUUUGAUUGUAAACUUUUUAUGAGAUUACUUUCAAAUCGUUCAUGUUGGCGUUAUUAAUGGAGUAUUCAAAAUNUGCAGUGUAUAUGUAGGUUACCUACUCGUCCCGUCUUGAAACACGGACCAAGGAGUUUUAUAUGAUCGCGAGUCAAAGGGCUUUACGAAACCCCAGGGCGCAAUAAACGUAAAGGCUUGCAUUGGUAAGCUGAAAUAUGACCUCACUCUCGAACCGAAAGCGAGAGCAAUAUUAACCCGUCUGAAGAAUUUCGAUUCUGGGCGGAGUUUGAGCGAUCAUGUAGAGACCCGAAAGAUGGUGAACUAUGCUUGUGCAGGUUGAAGUCAGGGGAAACUCUGAUGGAGGACCGAAGCGGUUCUGACGUGCAAAUCGAUCGUCGGACAUGAGUAUAGGGGCGAAAGACUAAUCGAACCAUCUAGUAGCUGGUUCCCUCCGAAGUUUCCCUCAGGAUAGCUGGCGUUUGAGUUGUAGUUUUACCUGGUAAAGCGAAUGAUUAGAAGUACUGGGGACGAAAUGUUUUCAACUUAUUCUCAAACUUUAAAUAGGUUCGAAGUACUACUCGCUUUAAUGGAGUAGUACAUGGAAUACAAAUGCCUAGUGGGCCAUUUUUGGUAAGCAGAACUGGCGAUGUGGGAUGAACCAAACAUCUGGUUAAGGUGCCUAACACCACGCUCAUGAGAUACCACAAAAGGUGUUGGUUGAUAAAGACAGCAGGACGGUGGUCAUGGAAGUCGACAUCCGCUAAGGAGUGUGUAACAACUCACCUGCCGAAUCAACCAGCCCUGAAAAUGGAUGGCGCUGUAGCGUGGGACCUAUACCGGAUCAGUAUCGCAAAGUCAAAUUCGGACAAAAUUAAGCGGUACUGUGUAGGAGGGUGCCGUGGUUGCUGAGAAGCUACUGGCGUGAGGCAGAGUGGAGCAGCCACGGGUACAGAUCUUGGUAG
Molecule: ribosomal RNA, 1561 nt
Filed under: Microplana hyalina
Lineage: Eukaryota; Metazoa; Platyhelminthes; Tricladida; Geoplanidae
Description: eukaryotic LSU rRNA
Rfam family: Eukaryotic large subunit ribosomal RNA
Source: RNAcentral